RNAcentral lists this ribosomal RNA (779 nucleotides) under uncultured delta proteobacterium. RNAcentral describes it as "bacterial SSU rRNA". It matches the Rfam family "Bacterial small subunit ribosomal RNA", at positions 73 to 830 of the family's 1533-position model. The record is from RNAcentral. Lineage: Bacteria; Deltaproteobacteria.
GCUUGCUUGGGAGAGUAAAGUGGCGCACGGGUGAGUAACGCGUGGGUAACCCACCUUCGAAUUUGGGAUAACUCCGCGAAAGCGGUGCUAAUACCGGAUAAGACCACAGCCGUUUCGGCGGCAGAGGUAAAAGCUGACCUCUCCAUGGAAGUUAGCGUUCGAAGACGGGCCCGCGUCCUAUCAGCUUGUUGGUGGGGUAAAGGCCUACCAAGGCAGCGACGGGUAGCUGGUCUGAGAGGAUGAUCAGCCACACUGGAACUGGAACACGGUCCAGACUCCUACGGGAGGCAGCAGUGAGGAAUUUUGCGCAAUGGGGGAAACCCUGACGCAGCAACGCCGCGUGGGUGAAGAAGGCUUUCGGGUCGUAAAGCCCUGUCAGGUGGGAAGAAACGCUUCAGCACUAAUAAUGCUGAAGCCUGACGGUACCACCAGAGGAAGCACCGGCCAACUCCGUGCCAGCAGCCGCGGUAAUACGGAGGGUGCAAGCGUUGUUCGGAAUUAUUGGGCGUAAAGAGCGUGUAGGCGGCUUGGUAAGUCAGAUGUGAAAGCCCUGGGCUCAACCCAGGAAGUGCAUUUGAAACUACCAGACUUGAGUACGGGAGAGGAGGGGGGAAUUCCCGGUGUAGAGGUGAAAUUCGUAGAUAUCGGGAGGAAUACCGGUGGCGAAGGCGCCCCUCUGGACCGAUACUGACGCUGAGACGCGAAAGCGUGGGGAGCAAACAGGAUUAGAUACCCUGGUAGUCCACGCCCGUAAACGAUGAGCACUAGGUGUUAGCGGG